ACGGAGGGCGCAAGCGUUGUUCGGAAUUACUGGGCGUAAAGCGCGUGUAGGCGGCCAGGUAAGUCGGAUGUGAAAGCCCGGGGCCCCACCCCGGAACUGCACCCGAUACUGCCUGGCUGGAGUCCCGGAGAGGAUGGCGGAAUUUCCGGUGUAGAGGUGAAAUUCGUAGAUAUCGGAAGGAGCACCAGUGGCGAAGGCGGCCAUCUGGACGGUGACUGACGCUGAGACGCGAAAGCGUGGGGAGCAAACAGGA
RNAcentral lists this ribosomal RNA (253 nucleotides) under uncultured prokaryote. RNAcentral describes it as "partial 16S ribosomal RNA". It matches the Rfam family "Bacterial small subunit ribosomal RNA", at positions 525 to 777 of the family's 1533-position model. The record is from RNAcentral.